GGGGAGGGGAGGGAGAGAGGAAGAAGGGGUGAGAGGGAGAAACCUGCCGCCGCUCGCCGCCUCUUUGUCUGCUCCGGGACUUGGAACAAAAGGGGGAACUCUGAUGAACUCUCCUCCCCUCUCCCCCGGCGCCCGGGUAUCUCCUCCUCGCAACUUUGCCGCCGCGACUUUCCCGGCUGUCAGGCCCCACGCAAGUGUCCGAGCGCCUCGCGGGCUGCACAGCGGGGAGGGUCCCUCCCGAGGGCGACGAGGCGGGGGCGGAGGUGAGCGGGGACCGAGGUCUGGGUUCCCUCUCCCCCCGGCGCUCCGGGCUCCCCGCCCUUCGGGGGACGGAGGCGUAGUCCGGUGGCGAAGUUUGGCUGGUGCAAUUAUUAUUAUCAGCAUCUAGAAAGCAUCACACGGAGCAUUGACCUUCAUGCUGCAUUGUUCUUACUGGAUCCUCCUAUCCGUGAACAUUAUGCCAAGUACCAAUACAGCAUCAAGUCAUUUCUGGAUGGAAAGUUUUCAAACUUCUUCAUUUGGAGUUACUUAAACGUGAGGGUGUUGGGAUUUUUGAGGAUGCCUUCCCUAUGUGGAUUAUUACAGUUUGAUGACUGAUUCUCUGCCUCAAAGAAGUACUCUCAGGUGACUACGGAAGCAUUAGCACCCUGCAUGCUCAGGUUUUCUUCUGUAUUUCCUGAUAUAAGUCUCCCCCUGACCCCACUGGAAUGCAUGGAUUUGCAUUUGUUCUUCCAGGAGUGUCUAACUGGAUGUCCUCUGCAAAUUCAUCAAAUGUGCCAUCUUUUCCAUCAUGUGGUCAUCCCUGGGAUCAUCAUCGAACAUCGUUCUCCACCACUCUGGUCCAUGGAUGGUUGUUCUCUUUUGUCCAUUCCAUCAAAUGUCCUGAACACUGUCAGAAGAGGGAAAAGGCUAAUGGAGCUGUUAAGUCUAAGUAUGACUGCCAAGAUGAAUCCAAAAAAGCCAAAGAGCCUGAGCAUGUCAGACCUUCCUGCAGCCUGCCACACACACUUAAAACCCCAGGGAAAUGAGUGCGGCUCAGGAGGGGGGAAGAGCGCCAACCAGUCAGAUUGCUCAAUCCCAAGACAAAGAACUCGUGGAUCAUGGGCUAGAAAAAAGGGUUAAAGGAUUAGAAUGAAUUCAAGAAAGAACGAUCUGGUUGCCACUUGGAGAAGGACACAGGAGCUGAACCCAAUGGUGCUGUGGAGCCUGGGGAGGAAAUUGUGAGUACUUGCUCUUGAUUGAGUAUCAUUAUCCUCCUGUUGUCUAGGAAGAUGAUUGUUAUAAUUAGCGAC
This 1292-nucleotide long non-coding RNA is filed under the name Canis lupus dingo (dingo). Its description in RNAcentral is "lncRNA (ENSCAFG00020010225.1)". The record is from RNAcentral. Lineage: Eukaryota; Metazoa; Chordata; Mammalia; Carnivora; Canidae.